This 69-nucleotide transfer RNA is filed under the name Ictidomys tridecemlineatus (thirteen-lined ground squirrel). RNAcentral's name for it is "Spermophilus tridecemlineatus (thirteen-lined ground squirrel) tRNA". It matches the Rfam family "tRNA". From Rfam's summary of the family: Transfer RNA (tRNA) molecules are approximately 80 nucleotides in length. Lineage: Eukaryota; Metazoa; Chordata; Mammalia; Rodentia; Sciuridae. The record is from Rfam by way of RNAcentral.
GGGGUUGUGACUCAGUGGCAGAGCGCUUGCCUAGCAUGCAAGAGGCACUGGGUUUGAUCCCCAACACCA